This 567-nucleotide ribosomal RNA is filed under the name uncultured marine bacterium. RNAcentral's name for it is "bacterial SSU rRNA". It matches the Rfam family "Bacterial small subunit ribosomal RNA", at positions 56 to 668 of the family's 1533-position model. The record is from RNAcentral.
UGCAAGUCGAACGAAGUAGCAAUACUUAGUGGCAGACGGGUGAGUAACAUGUAGGUAUCUGCCCUUUGGCCUGGAAUAACACGAGGAAACUUGUGCUAAUACCGGAUAAGUCUUUACGGAGAAAGCUUUAUGCACCAUUGGAUGAGCCUGCACUUGAUUAGUUUGUUGGUAGGGUAAUGGCCUACCAAGACUUUGAUCAAUAGCUGAUUUGAGAGGAUGAUCAGCCACAUUGGGACUGAGACACGGCCCAAACUCCUACGGGAGGCAGCAGUGGGGAAUCUUGCACAAUGGAGGAAACUCUGAUGCAGCGAUGCCGCGUGAGUGAAGAAGGCCUUUGGGUUGUAAAGCUCUUUCGUCGGGGAAGAAAAUGACUGUACCCGAAUAAGAAGGUCCGGCUAACUUCGUGCCAGCAGCCGCGGUAAUACGAAGGGACCUAGCGUAGUUCGGAAUUACUGGGCUUAAAGAGUUCGUAGGUGGUUGAAAAAGUUGGUGGUGAAAUCCCAGAGCUUAACUCUGGAACUGCCAUCAAAACUUUUCAGCUAGAGUUUGAUAGAGGAAAGCAGAAUU